AUGAACGCUGGCGGCGUGCCUAAUCCAUGCCAGUCGAGCGAACAGAUGAGGAGCUUGCUCCUCUGACGUUAGCGGCGGACGGGUGAGUAACCCGUGGAUAACCUACCUAUAAGACUGGGAUAACUUCGGGAAACCGGAGCUAAUACCGGAUAAUAUAUUGAACCGCCUUGUUCCAUAGUUAAAGACGGUUUUGCUGUCACUUAUAGAUGGAUCCGCGCCGCAUUAGCUAGUUGGUAAGGUAACGGCUUACCAAGGCGACGAUGCGUAGCCGACCUGAGAGGGUGAUCGGCCACACUGGAACUGAGACACGGUCCAGACUCCUACGGGAGGCAGCAGUAGGGAAUCUUCCGCAAUGGGCGAAAGCUUGACGGAGCAACGCCGCGUGAGUGAUGAAGGUCUUCGGAUCGUAAAACUCUGUUAUUAGGGAAGAACAAAUGUGUAAGUAACUAUGCACGUCUUGACGGUACCUAAUCAGAAAGCCACGGCUAACUACGUG
RNAcentral lists this ribosomal RNA (496 nucleotides) under uncultured bacterium. RNAcentral describes it as "partial 16S ribosomal RNA". It matches the Rfam family "Bacterial small subunit ribosomal RNA", at positions 29 to 507 of the family's 1533-position model. The record is from RNAcentral.